ACGGGAGGCAGCAGUGAGGAAUAUUGGUCAAUGGACGGAAGUCUGAACCAGCCAUGCCGCGUGCAGGAAUAAGGCCCUAUGGGUCGUAAACUGCUUUUGUGGUGGAGCAAUAAGGCGUACGUGUACGUCGAUGAGAGUACAUCACGAAUAAGCAUCGGCUAACUCCGUGCCAGCAGCCGCGGUAAUACGGAGGAUGCAAGCGUUAUCCGGAUUUAUUGGGUUUAAAGGGAGCGUAGGCGGCCUUUUAAGUCAGCGGUCAAAUGUCAGCGCCCAACGCUGGCCUGCCGUUGAUACUGAUGGGCUUGAAUACACACAAGGAAGGUGGAAUUCGUCGUGUAGCGGUGAAAUGCUUAGAUAUGACGAAGAACUCCGAUUGCGAAGGCAGCCUUCUGGAGUGCGAUUGACGCUGAGGCUCGAAAGCGCGGGUAUCAAACAGGAUUAGAUACCCUGGUA
Molecule: ribosomal RNA, 453 nt
Filed under: uncultured Paraprevotella sp.
Lineage: Bacteria; Pseudomonadati; Bacteroidota; Bacteroidia; Bacteroidales; Prevotellaceae
Description: partial 16S ribosomal RNA
Rfam family: Bacterial small subunit ribosomal RNA
Source: RNAcentral